This 436-nucleotide long non-coding RNA is filed under the name Vitis vinifera (wine grape). RNAcentral's name for it is "long non-coding RNA (VVIN_LNC005883)". Lineage: Eukaryota; Viridiplantae; Streptophyta; Magnoliopsida; Vitales; Vitaceae. The record is from RNAcentral.
CAGUGUUAAUGGAAGAGACUACUUCGAAUUAGUAUUGAUAAGCAAUGUAGCUGGGGCUGGAUCUAUUCAAUCAGUAUCAAUCAAAGGCUCCCGGACCAGUUGGAUGGCCAUGUCCAGGAACUGGGGAGCUAACUGGCAGUCUAAUGCCUAUCUCAAUGGCCAGUCUCUGUCCUUCAAGGUCACCACCACUGAUGGAGUGACCCAAGAAUUCGACAAUGUUGUGCCUUCAGAUUGGGGGUUUGGUCAGACCUUCUCUAGCUCAGUACAGUUUUAAGCCAAGAAAGCUGCUUUGGGGUUCAGGGUUUCGGGUUUUCAUUGGCAGAGGCGUGCUUACUAUUUUAAUGAAGCAGCCCGCCCUAAAUUAUGAGAAGGAAUUCUCAAAUGGUUGGCAAUGGAGAUGGGGGCUAACCCAUGAACUCAAGGCUACUAUCAACUC